CAUUGGGUUAGGGGUAGCUAGGAUGCAACACGCCUCUGGGAUGAGGUCGUGGGGUGCUUCUAAGAAAAAGCAGCAACCCCCUGAAAGGAAAGACUCCAGAGCUCCAGCCCCUCCGCAGAGACGUGCUACACCUAGACAGGUUGGAAGAACUGAAGGAAGCCAUCAGCUCCUUGAGCCAUGCUGGCCUGUGUGACCUUCCAUUUCCCUCCCCUAAUUCAAGCCAGUGACACAGUUCCUAAGCUCCUACUCUGGGUAAAGCAGACAAAAAGAAUCCAACAACCCUCCCUCAACAGAACAGAAACAAAGCCCUGCCCAGGACUUACAUUCUCGGGGAGGGAUAGAGUGUAUAGGAAUAAGGAAAACCAAAGUGAUUUAAGGAGAGAGGGGACGUCACUGAUUGGGAACAUCUGAGAAGGCUUCAUGGAGGAGGUGGUCUCCAAGCUGAAGUCAGUUAGGUAGACAUUCUAGGAAACCAAGUCAGGGAGACUGCAUUUUAUCCUGGCUGUAAUAAGGAGCCACUUAGAUUUUUGAGGAGACGAAUGUCAUGGUUAAACCUGGGUAUUCAAAAGACAAUUUUGGCAAGAAGGUGGAAAAAAGGUACUAAAAGGGAGAGACUGGAAAUGGGACAGAAGGUAGGAGGAUAUUCAAAAAAUCUGCCAAGAAGUCAAAAGGGCCAGAACGAGCAGUGUGAUUGAGGUAGUGGAGGAGAGGGAUAUGGGCAAUCUUGAGGAGUCAGAGAUAGGACUUGGGAACCAACCACAUGGCAGGAAUUAGGAAGAGAAGAGGAUUAAGAAUAAUUCCAGGAUUGCAAAAAUUCCAGGAUUGGGAUGGUGGCUCAACCGAAGUAAGGAGGUUUGGAAAAAGGGAAUAUACAGGGGGGGAAACAUUUGCUUCUGUUUUGAAUAUGUGUAGCUUGAGAAAAUAAUGAGCUGCUUAUUUGGAGAUCUGCCCUGGAGAAUAGGCAAUGUGGGACUAGAGUUCAGGAGUGAGACUAGGGCUAGAAAUUUAAAUCUGAGAGUCUGUGUAGUGAUAACUAAUAAAAAAACCCCAUGAUUAGUUGAUUAUAUGGAGUUAAUGAUCUCAGCAGAAAGAGUGGGGAGAAUAAGGCUGCCAUAUUAUGGGAGGGCCUACUUGAAACUAGAUAGAAUAAAUUUUGUAGAGGGAUCAGUGGUCUCUGUUUAGUGACUUCUGGCAAACGUACAAUUCUAGGAUCUAAGAAAAUGGAUAUUGAGAGUUAACUAACAUCAAGGAUGGACAGGGUGUCAGUGGUGCUAAGGGCAAGGGAUUCCGGAAUAUAAGGAAGUUCAUAUAUGGUCAGAACAGGGGUGAUAGACUCAAAGAGCAAGAAAGGGUGGCGAGACUAGAAUUCAUGAUGGAGAUUAGGUUUAGAAAGGGAAAAAGACAGAUAGUGCCAAAUCAGAGUUUAUAUAGAAGGGGAAUAAUUUGAGAGUGAAGAUGGAAUAAAAAUCAUGUUUGUGGUCAACAUGAUAUAGAGGCAAAAGUUGGGCUUGGGGCUUGGAGAACUUGAAGGUUAUGAUAAUCAGAGGAAUAUCAUGACUGCUGGUCAUCCUUCCUGAAAUCACCAUCAGUUGCUCUAAGAUCAAAUGUUCGCUUUACAAAAGAAAUGUGUGGAGAAAAGCAAGCUUUCCAAAUUAGGGGGCCCCUGAUAAUUAGGAACUUGCCUCCUUGCAGUGCUGGCAUAGUAACUGUAAUGAAUGAAGGUCUUUUCUCUGGAAAAAGUGUUCUCUGGGAAGGAAGUCUGAGACAUAGGAGGCUCCGUGGGGGAAAUGGGAGGUUUGCUACCUGCUGUGAGCCCCACCUAGAGUAUGAGGCUCUGCUCAGUUCCUUGGGGAGUGGGACACAUGGUGUAUUCAUUUCCUCUAACCUCUGUUCUAAGUUUCAUUCUGUUUUCUUGAUCCUAUGUUGAGCAUUGGGAGUCAUGUGCUUAUAAUGGGAAUUGGGAGAAGGACACUGGUGCUGUCAUUAGUGAAGCUCCCAGAUCUUCUGGUGGGCUCCAAGAGCCAGAGCAGAGAGAAUUUCCUCCAAGAGCCCCUUUGAGUCCCAUGAGAAUCAAGUCACCAACACAAGGGUUACAUCUGCUUUUUGUGAAACAGUCAUAUUUAUUCUGAACUCAGAAUGUCUAAAGAGGAAAUACUUGGAAUUUUCAUAAAUACGGGUUUGAGACUUUUUCUUCCUCCAUGAAACUUGCCCUGCUCCCCUCUCCCAGUGCUUAGUGAGCCCUACCUCCUUCUCCCUCCCUCCCAUUUAUCAGUGUCCAUGUUGUGCCUCCCAGAGCAAUGUAAGCACUUUGAAUAUAGGGACUGUUCUUUUGUGAUUGUUUCCUCAGUACUAAGGACAGCACCCGUGACCAGAAUUUGCAAAUGUUAAAUUGGCUAGCUGAGGUGUCUCAGACUCCUUGCUUGCUUGUCUCCACUCCAUCAUUGCUCAGGGGGGAAUUUUCUAUGUGCACAGAAGUGGGAAGCAUUUCCAGCUCCCCAACUCCCUUUUAAUCGGGAAAGAGGUCCUGGCUUUAAAGAGAUCCCAUCUAUUCUGCUCAUCCUUUAGGAUGCCUGACCUUUGGCUUUGAAAAAUCUUGGGACAGCCCCAAGUGGAUCCCUUGAUUGGAUCAUUAGGGGCUUGUCCUUAGUUUCCUCUGAAGCUUCUGUUUCCUGGAAAAGUCGUGUCAGCUUUUUCUAUAUAUUUACUUUGAGGUGACGAUCUUUACUCAGGGUCUGCAGGGGGAUUACUGCCUGAAAGUCUUCCAGGAGCCCAACGAGGCAGACAUAGUACCAACAUAUUAAAGUUCUCAAUGGAAGACGCAUUGGUAUCUCAUGCAUCUUCCCUGACCAAAGGCUGGGAUUUUGAAGCGGGCCAUUUCAGGAGUCCCGAUGUCCUUCUCCGGGUCCCUUCGGAUCCGAUCUUGACAUCUUUGUUGUUGCAGAAAUGAAGGAACUGGACUCGAUGGCCCCUCGGGACCCUUCCAGCACCAGACCCAAGUAUCCUGUGAAGCAAAUCAUUGCAGCCAGAGAAGGAAGAGAAGUGGAGAGGAAUCACCCUGAAAAGAUACUGGCAUCUAUUGUUAUAUCGAGAUGACUGGCAUUCGUGUCUAACGGUCUCGGCUCAGCCCGGAUGCCCUCUAUGGGUGCAGCAAAAGAACGAAGUAGCUGUUAUGUACCAUUGCAAGGUCACAACUUUCUAGGGCCUGCCAAAGAGUGGAAUACUGAAUCCCUGGAGUCUUUCAGUGUUCCCUCCUUCCCUCCACUCCUUGGUGAGCAUUGUCCUGACCUUGGGACUAGAGACCUGUAAUUGGCUGCCGUGACCCCUCCCACCGGGGGCUGCAGGGAGCCAUGGGGUUGGCAGUGGUGUGGAUGACGGAAGCCCCAGGGGAUGGUCACUCCAAGGCCCUGGAAGCCCUGAGCCGGAGACGGCCAGAAGAAAUCCCGAGGAAGACACGGGCAGAAUUUGCAUCGCCAGCAUGGACCAGCACUUCAGUCUUUCUUCCAUGAGUUCCCCAGUGAGGAAAAGUCUCCUCCUUACAAGCUUGUUCACCUUUCUGAGUUAAAUAUUUGCUUUGGCUUUUGAGCUCCACUUUGAUAAAAUCUGUUAACCACAUUGCUAAUCCGUGUAUAUCAUUGUUCAAAUGAAACAGAGAGGAGACACCGGGGCAGAGUCUGAGCAGACAGGGAGGCGGUUUGCCAGAAACCUCCGGCUAGGGUCUCAGCUAUGGCCGAGAGGUUCCAGUUACUCCUUUCCUGGAGUAGAACACUUUAUGGGGGCUCUCCUAAGGGAUGGGGCAGCAGGGGUGAGGCUGCUGCACUAAGGCAGGGCCUCUGCCGUCUUCCCAGGUUUGAACUGGAAGGCAAGCCAUGCCCAGAGGAUGGGUGUCCAGGGAAUGAGCGGAGGGGCAGGGUGUCCAAGGGCAAGGGUAGCCAAGCUCACAGAACAGCAGGGGUAAAAGAAGGGACUAACCUCCUG
Sarcophilus harrisii (Tasmanian devil) is the source of this 3975-nucleotide long non-coding RNA. RefSeq lists it as uncharacterized. The record is from RefSeq and is a predicted model, not a curated record. The transcript is spliced from 3 exons. Lineage: Eukaryota; Metazoa; Chordata; Mammalia; Dasyuromorphia; Dasyuridae.